RNAcentral lists this long non-coding RNA (410 nucleotides) under Accipiter nisus (Eurasian sparrowhawk). RNAcentral describes it as "lncRNA (ENSANIG00000009346.1)". The record is from RNAcentral. Lineage: Eukaryota; Metazoa; Chordata; Aves; Accipitriformes; Accipitridae.
UGAGGGAAGCUUUUCAUAGCGGGAAUAGAGCUGGUCUACAAAAAUAUUUGGGGGGUGGGGAGGUGUCUGGUCUUCACACAUUGUGUGGAUUGCUCUUUUCACAGGGGGAAAAUGGCAGGAAAGAGGAACUUGUGACCAAGGAGCCCUCCUGUCCUGCAGUGUACAGGAACAGCAGCAUGCUGGACGGGCAAAGAGUCCGCCUGGGUUUGAACUACACUCUAAAGAUUUCCCCCACCAAAAUCACAGAUGAUGGCAAGGUAUUUUCCUGCCACGUGGCGUACCACCCGGAAAGAGUCCAGAAGAGCAGCACCACCGUGAGAGUAUUCGCCUACCCUGAGAUCUCUGUUAGGCUGCAGGAGGGCUCAGCUGGCACCGCGCAGAAGGGAUUUUGGAAGCCAGCAGCCGGGUGA